UUGGAGGGCAAGUCUGGUGCCAGCAGCCGCGGUAAUUCCAGCUCCAAUAGCGUAUAUUAAAGUUGUUGCAGUUAAAAAGCUCGUAGUUGAAUUUCGGGGUUCUACCGUUGGUCGGGCUUUGUCUGUACUGGUGUGUAGAAUUUCUACCUUCUGGGGAACCAUCAUGCUAUUAAUUUAGCGUGGUGGGAAACCAGGACCUUUACCUUGAAAAAAUUAGUGUGUUCAAAGCAGGCUUAUGUCUGAAUACAUUAGCGUGGAAUAAUAGAAUAGGACGGUGGUCCUGUUUUGUUGGUUUCUGAAUCACUGUAAUGAUUAAUAGGGAUAGUUGGGGGCAUUAGUAUUCAAUUGUCAGAGGUGAAAUUCUUGGAUUUAUUGAAGACUAACUUCUGCGAAAGCAUUUGCCAAGGAUGUUUUCAUUAAUCAAGAACGAAAGUUAGGGGAUCGAAGACGAUCAGAUACCGUCGUAGUCUUAACCAUAAACUAUGCCGACUAGGGAUCGGACGAUGUUAAUUUUUCUUGACUCGUUCGGCGCCUUACGGGAAAC
This 544-nucleotide ribosomal RNA is filed under the name uncultured Glomeromycotina. RNAcentral's name for it is "SSU rRNA". It matches the Rfam family "Eukaryotic small subunit ribosomal RNA", at positions 548 to 1098 of the family's 1831-position model. The record is from RNAcentral. Lineage: Eukaryota; Fungi; Glomeromycota.